Camellia sinensis is the source of this 1034-nucleotide non-coding RNA. The record is from RefSeq and is a predicted model, not a curated record. Lineage: Eukaryota; Viridiplantae; Streptophyta; Magnoliopsida; Ericales; Theaceae.
AAGAGUAGGCUCCGAACUAAUGGAGUCUGAGAUCAAGGCCCUUAUGAAUGCAGCAGAUAUUGACAACAGUGGAACAAUUGACUAUGGUGAAUUUAUUGCUGCUACGUUGCACAUAAAUAAGAUGGAUAGAGAAGAGAAUUUGAUCGCAGCAUUCUCUUUCUUUGACAAGGAUGGUAGUGGUUAUAUAACGAUUGAUGAGCUUCAACAGGCUUGUAGAGACUUUGGUCUAGGUGAUGUUCAAUUAGAUGAUACGGUCACAGAAAUUGAUCAAGAUAAUAUUGGGGGUUGGCAAUAUAUUGUUUUUCCUGGACGGUAUAUUUACACUCAGAGGUUCAAAGAUGCAAAUGUCAAUGAUAAGUGAUGGUUGGUGGAUCAGAUACCUUAUCCUGUGCUCAAUGUGGCAAACCUGCCCAUCUUCAGUGAAUAGUAGAUGCUGCAGCUAGAAGUCGAAACUAUCCCACUCUGAAGCUUAAACUGUGAGUAUCUUGAUCAAUGAAGUGCCAAACAGUUGGGAGCAACUGCUGUCAAUUUGAUUGCUGGAGAAAAACCUGCUGAUGUUUACUCAGGAAUAGCUGCUAGGUAAGUAGCUUUUUCACAAUGCAAUAGUUAUGAGCAUUAUCAAUUUCUCUUUUCUACAUGGAUUCUUUCCAAACCCCUUCCUUUUGCAAGCUUCUCUUUAUUGGUAAUUCUGUGCCUGAUUGGCCCAGUUCUUAUGCAGGCAGUUUCUAGAAGAGCCACCUUUCAUGAAACAAUUAGAGACUAUGAACAAGCAGCCAGUGACCUUCAUAGACUGAUCUCUCUUCUUGAAAAGCAAUCACAAGAAAAGGUUCAACAGUGUGGCUCUGGCGGCAAUGUUAAAGAAUUAAGACAAGCUCGUCGUCACGUAUCCUCAGUGGAAGAAAAGGCUAAAAAUGGAAUCUCCUUGGAUCAUUACCUCAUUUUGUAAGUCCUCUGCAUUUGUGUUUCCUUAUGAUAUAUUUUAUUUCCAUGGACUUGGAUUUCUGUUAUGGAACUUGAUUUAUUACAUAGAUUUU